GGGUGUGUAGCUCAGCGGGAGAGCACUACGUUGACAUCGUAGGGGUCACAAGUUCGAUCCUUGUCAUACCCACCA
RNAcentral lists this transfer RNA (75 nucleotides) under Alphaproteobacteria bacterium. RNAcentral describes it as "tRNA-Val". It matches the Rfam family "tRNA". Rfam says of the family: Transfer RNA (tRNA) molecules are approximately 80 nucleotides in length. The record is from RNAcentral. Lineage: Bacteria; Pseudomonadati; Pseudomonadota; Alphaproteobacteria.